AUGGUUUCGGUUUCCCCCUCUCCGCCUCGUCGGAUCGUUGUGCCUGCACCAACCUGCCCAGCUCCAUGGUUAUUUCCCUGGGAGGAUUUCCUGCUCUCACGCGGUCCUCAGUCUCCAGUUCAGCCGCGCGCUGCUCGGUCGCCAGUUCAGCCGCGCGCUGCUCAGUCUCCAAGUCAGCCGCGCGCUGCUCAGUCUCCAGUUCAGCCGCGCGCUGCUCAGUCUCCAAGUCAGCCGCGCGCUGCUCGGUCUCCAGUUCAGCCGCGCGCUGCUCGGUCUCCAGUUCAGCCGCGCGCUGCUCAGUCUCCAGUUCAGCCGCGCGCUGCUCAGUCUCCAGUUCAGCCGCGCGCUGCUCAGUCCCCAGUUCAGCCGCGCGCGGUUCAAUCUCCAGUUCAGUCGUGUUUUCCCCAGUCUCCAGCCCAAGCUCCAGACGCCGCGGUCCCGGUUCACCAUGCGGGUCCCGGUACAGAGGUCCGGUCCACACCGCUCCCAGCGCCCCAAACGACGGACAGUCGCAGCUGCUCCGGACGGCGCCGGCGGCGGCGCGGUUCCAGGAUUCCGGGUCCCGCGGUCUCGGUCAUGGGGACCGAGCAGUCUCCUUCUCCGACAGAGGAGCCCCUUGAUUCUCUAACUGACUGUGUCUCUCUGAUAGCGGGCAUCCCAGACAGCGUCGCCCGACGGGUCCACCUCCUCUGCUCUCCUCCGGUGGCGUUUCUCUUCGCCCACCUCAUGAACACCGCCGAUUCGGCAGCAGACCAGGGCGCGAGAGAACAACGGUUCCAGGAAGCAGCCGCUCUCGUCCUGAGGGAGCCUGUCCUGCGUGAGGCCCUGCAACUCCCGGGCCUGCAGCCAGCGGCCGCUUCAUGUCCCACCUCUCAGUCAGGUCAGCCUCGCCAUGCUCAUGCCCUGGUGCAGCCCUGUCGCCUCCAGGCCCCAGCCCAGUCGAACCUAGUCCAGACCCCAGAUCAGCCGUGUGUCGCCCAGACCCCAGAUCAGCCGUGUGUCGCCCAGACCCCAGAUCAGCCGUGUGUCGCCCAGACCCCAGAUCAGCCGUGUGUCGCCCAGACCCCAGAUCAGCCGUGUGUCGCCCAGACCCCAGGUCAGCCGUGUGUCGCCCAGACCCCAGAUCAGCCGUGUGUCACCCAGACCCCGGAUCAGCCGUGUGUCACCCAGACCCCAGAUCAGCCGUGUGUCGCCCAGACCCCAGAUCAGCCGUGUGUCGCCCAGACCCCAGAUCAGCCGUGUGUCGCCCAGACCCCAGAUCAGCCGUGUGUCGCCCAGACCCCAGAUCAGCCGUGUGUCGCCCAGACCCCAGAUCAGCCGUGUGUCGCCCAGACCCCAGAUCAGCCGUGUGUCGCCCAGACCCCAGAUCAGUCGUGUGUUGCCCAGACCCCAGUUCCGUCCUUGUCCCCGUCAGAGGGCACCGCCCGUCUGACGAUUGUUAACCCCACCCAAUCAGGCCCGACGUCUUCCCCGUCGAGCUCGGCAGCUGUAAGCUGUCAUGCCAGCUCCGGAGUUGACGCCGUUCCAGUCCCUGUCGGCCAUGUUGCGGCCGUUCCAGCUCCUGUCGGCCAUGUUGCGGCCGUUCUAGUUCCUGUCGGCUCCUCAGAGGAGGACGCCGUUCUAGUUCCUGUCGGCUCCUCAGAGGAGGACGCCGUUCCUGUUCCCGUCGGCCAUAUUGAGGCCGUUCUAGUUCCAGUUCCUGUCGGCUCCUCAGAGGAGGACGCCGUUCUAGUUCCUGUCGGCCACGUAGAGGUCGUUCCAGUUCCUGUCGGCCAUGUUGAGGUCGUUCCAGUUCCUGUCGGCCCUGUAGAGGCCGUUCCAGUUCCUGUCGGCCAUGUUGAGGUCGUUCCAGUUCCUGUCCCUGUCGACCAAAUUGAGGUCGUUCCAGUUCCUGUUCCUGUCGGCCAAGUUGAGGGCGUUCCCGUAGGCCAAGUUGAGGGCGUUCCCGUAGGCCAAGUUGAGGGCGUUCCCGUAGGCCAAGUUGAGGGCGUUCCCGUAGGCCAAGUUGAGGGCGUUCCCGUAGGCCAAGUUGAGGGCGUUCCCGUAGGCCAAGUAGAGGGCGUUCCCGUAGGCCAAGUAGAGGGCGUUCCCGUAGGCCAAGUAGAGGUCACCCCUGUCUCUGACCCCGUUCCUGCCGACCCUGUAGCGGUCGUUCCAGUCCCCGUUCCUGCCGGCCCUGUAGCGGUCGUUCCAGUCCCCGUUCCUGUCGAUCCUGUAGCGGCCGUUCCGGUCCCCGUUCCUGUCGACCCUGUAGCGGUCGUUCCAGUCCCCGUUCCUGUCGACCCUGUAGCGGUCGUUCCAGUCCCCGUUCCUGUCGGCCCUGUAGCGGUCGUUCCAGUCCCCGUUCCUGUCGGCCCUGUAGCGGUCGUUCCAGUCCCCAUCACCCGUGGAGCCGUAGCGCCCGCCGGCCCCCAGGAGGAGGUCGCGCUAGUCGCAGUUCCUGCGCGCCUCCAGGAGGAGGUCGCGCCAGCCGCAGCUCCUGCGCGCCUCCAGGAGGAGGUCGCGCCAGCCGCAGUUCCUGCGCGCCUCCAGGAGGAGGCCGCGCCAGCCGCAGUUCCUGCGCGCCUCCAGGAGGAGGCCGCGCCAGCCGCAGUUCCUGCGCGCCUCCAGGAGGAGGCCGCGCCAGCCGCAGUUCCUGCGCGCCUCCAGGAGGAGGUCGCGCCAGUCGCAGUUCCUGCGCACCUCCAGGAGGAGGUCGCGCCAGCCGCA
This is a long non-coding RNA of Betta splendens (Siamese fighting fish), 2709 nucleotides long. NCBI's taxonomy places the organism in Eukaryota, Metazoa, Chordata, Actinopteri, Anabantiformes, Osphronemidae. The record is from Ensembl.